This 23-nucleotide non-coding RNA is filed under the name Arabidopsis thaliana (thale cress). Lineage: Eukaryota; Viridiplantae; Streptophyta; Magnoliopsida; Brassicales; Brassicaceae. The record is from RNAcentral.
CUGUUGUGGGGUUCCCCAACCCA